Molecule: ribosomal RNA, 566 nt
Filed under: uncultured archaeon
Lineage: Archaea
Description: bacterial SSU rRNA
Rfam family: Archaeal small subunit ribosomal RNA
Source: RNAcentral
CGCGAAUUCGCCCUUCGGGGCGCACCAGGCGCGAAAACUCCACAAUGUGCGAAAGCAUGAUGGGGUUAACCCGAGUGCUGUCCGAUGAGGAUAGCUUUUCUUCAGUUUAAGGAUCUGUAGGAAUAAAGGGGGGGCAAGACUGGUGUCAGCCGCCGCGGUAAUACCAGCCCCCUGAGUGGUAGGGACGAUUAUUUGGCCUAAAGCGUCCGUAGCCUGUUUGGUAAGUCUUUCGUCAAAUCCGACGAUUCCAUCGUCGGCUCGCGGAAGAUACUGCCAGACUUGGGGACGGGAGAGGUCGACGGUAGUCCCGGGGUAGGGGUGAAAUCCUAUAAUCCUGGGGGGACCACCAGUGGCGAAGGCGGUCGACUAGAACGUGCCUGACGGUGAUGGACGAAAGCUGGGGGAGCGAACCGGAUUAGACACCCGGGUAGUCCCAGCUGUAAACGAUGCGAGCUAGGUGUUGGAGCAACUACGGGUUGCUCCAGUGCCGCAGAGAAGUUGUUAAGCUCGCCGCCUGGGAAGUACGGCCGCAAGGCUGAAACUUAAAGGAAUUGGCGGGGGAGCAC